RNAcentral lists this long non-coding RNA (210 nucleotides) under Prunus dulcis (almond). RNAcentral's name for it is "sRNA ncRNA". The record is from RNAcentral. Lineage: Eukaryota; Viridiplantae; Streptophyta; Magnoliopsida; Rosales; Rosaceae.
AUGGUGGACUGGGCACCCGUUCUACUUGGGUUGAUGUUGUUCAUACUGCUGUCUCCUGGUCUUCUGUUUCAAAUACCAGGAAACACCCGCCAUGUUGAGUUUGGGAGCUUCACCACAAAUGGCAAGGCCAUUCUUGUCCACACACUCAUUUUCUUUGUCAUUUUCACCAUCCUGAUAUUGGCUUUUGGCAUCCACAUCCACACUGGCUGA